Molecule: long non-coding RNA, 576 nt
Filed under: Capra hircus (goat)
Lineage: Eukaryota; Metazoa; Chordata; Mammalia; Artiodactyla; Bovidae
Description: lncRNA (ENSCHIG00000002468.1)
Source: RNAcentral
GUUCCUGUUCAUUGAUCCAUCAUAAGUGGGCCCGGUGACUGAGCACGCCCCACAACUAGACACCACAACUCACUCGGGCGCACGUGGACGUGCACACGGCAGGCCGAACCGCAGGGCACCGUGACCCUCCCUCACCGGCCCUUGGAGCCGUGGACAGAGAGAGAAAAAGAGCCGGCCUUUCCAGAAGGUGAAAAGCCCACCCCCGCGUUUACUCAUCUAGUGGACGGCGUGUUUAUACUGCGGGAACGCAAACAUCAAGGAAUGUAGGAGCAUGAACUACCUUGGAGCAUCAAAAGUGAUGAGAAUCACUGGUGAUGAAGAUCACUGAUGAAGAAUAUCAUUGAGGAUGAGCAUCACUGACUAUGAGCAUCACUGAGGACGAGUGUCACUGAGGUGAGCAUCACUGAGGUGAGCAUCACUGAGGACAAGUGUCACUGAGGUGAGCAUCACUGACUAUGAGCAUCACUGAGGACAAGCGUCACUGAGGUGUGUGUCACUGAGGUGAGGGUCACUGAGGUGAGGGUCACUGAGGUGAGCAUCACUGACUAUGAGCAUCACUGAGGACAAGCGUCACUG